GAUGAACGCUGGCGGCGUGCCUAAUACAUGCAAGUCGAGCGAACGGACGAGAAGCUUGCUUUUCUGAUGUUAGCGGCGGACGGGUGAGUAACACGUGGAUAACCUACCUAUAAGACUGGGAUAACUUCGGGAAACCGGAGCUAAUACCGGAUCAUAUUUUGAACCGCAUGGUUCAAAAGUGAAAGACGGUCUUGCUGUCACUAAUAGAUGGAUCCGCGCUGCAUUAGCUAGUUGGUAAGGUAACGGCUUACCAAGGCAACGAUGCAUAGCCGACCUGAGAGGGUGAUCGGCCACACUGGAACUGAGACACGGUCCAGACUCCUACGGGAGGCAGCAGUAGGGAAUCUUCCGCAAUGGGCGAAAGCCUGACGGAGCAACGCCGCGUGAGUGAUGAAGGUCUUCGGAUCGUAAAACUCUGUUAUUAGGGAAGAACAUAUGUGUAAGUAACUGUGCACAUCUUGACGGUACCUAAUCAGAAAGCCACGGCUAACUACGUG
This 497-nucleotide ribosomal RNA is filed under the name uncultured bacterium. Its description in RNAcentral is "partial 16S ribosomal RNA". It matches the Rfam family "Bacterial small subunit ribosomal RNA", at positions 28 to 507 of the family's 1533-position model. The record is from RNAcentral.